This 1286-nucleotide long non-coding RNA is filed under the name Chinchilla lanigera (long-tailed chinchilla). RNAcentral describes it as "lncRNA (ENSCLAG00000022399.1)". Lineage: Eukaryota; Metazoa; Chordata; Mammalia; Rodentia; Chinchillidae. The record is from RNAcentral.
UGAUGUACCCGCCUUACUCUCUCAGUUCUCUUACGCUGACGUUCACCUGAGCUUCUUACAAACAGAACCUCCCAUUGUACUUGUCAGAACUCCCAAUCCAGGAAGAAGAAAUUCUGCUCCACUCUUGACUUCAAUGUUACCAUCCGGUUUAAUGCAGAUCGGGCUUUCUGCUGAAGACACUGCUUCUCUGAAGCCCUCUCAAGGGAAAGAACAUCUUCUACUUGUUAUUUAGGGCAAUUAAAAUAUCUGGUUUCCAAACACUAUCAGUCAGUGGAAAAGAAUUUGAAGAUGUGGAUGAAAUGAAUUCAGAUACAUUACAGAUGAAAAUAUGAAUGCCCUUUAAAGAGCUUCAAAUAUUCAUACUGAAAUGGCAAGAGGAGAGAUCUGUUUCUACGGGAAACACUAAUCACAAACCAAGACAAAGCUUUGAACUUCAUGGAGUCUGUAAGACAUUUUGGCCACUCACUAAAAAUCUGCCUGUUUUCCCAAAGUCAAAAUCCCCCUCUUCCCCUGAAGAGGUAACAACUUUAAGGUGCAUUCCAAGACACUCGGCUGUGAUUCUGAUAUCGAAUAUCAGCAAAGGAAGACCCUUCUCCCCCAGCCCAGCCCAGAGAGCAAUUGUGGAAAAUACAUUCUGAAAAUCCAAAGCUGGCAUCCCAGGACACCAAGUAGGCAAACAGUGGCUUGAACAGUGGGACUAUCAGAGGACAUGGAGAAAGGUGGAAAGAUUUAAGACCUUGGUGAUGGACUGUGUGUGUACAGCUGAGACAAAGACAGGGCAGUGCCAAGGAUGAGUGCCCCUUCGCACCAGGGACAAAGUGUGAAGGGUGGUGGGUCAUUGCUGUGUGAGACACGAGUGGCUGCUUCUCUCGCUUUGCUCUGAAGAUUAGCAUCUGUUAUUUCACCUCAAGAAAACUGAAUUGACAUUGUAUCUUUAAUUAUUCAAAUUAAAAGACCGGUGCUGUGUCAACUUAAAUUAUUAGAAUGGCCUGUCUAAGCUAUUCCUACUUGAUCAAAUUUAAGUCUGAUCAACUGAAACGCAGAAUAUGGUGAUGAUGCAGACAGUAAUGACUGUGUUGUUUUGAAAGCUUCUGGGCCUAAAGCAGAGUCAGAAGACAGAAGUUGAUAUAAAGCUGCAUGUCGGAGUUUUAAAUGAGAUUACUGGACUAGUUUAAACUUGCAAGUCAACUUUUUUGCCUUCAUUGUUAUUAAAAGUAAAAAAUGCGGAAGAGCUUGUGUAUUUAUCUGCAUAAAGAAGAAGAAAAUCUCCCCCAUCUGUGAAGCGC